AUUUCUGAUGUUUUUGUGACUUUUGUUGGAUGUUAACUGUUGACGUUUUUGAACUUUGGUUAAUUCAAUUUCAGUUGCUUUUUACUUGGUAUGUUGUUUGUUUGUUUCAGGAGCAAUGGAAGUGUUGGAUAUGAUGGAAGAUAGAUUCUGAGAGUCUAGGAUUAGCAGAGCGUAGUUUUGUAUAGGAAUGCCAAAGGGGGAGAUUGUUAGUACAUGUUAGUACAACAUGUGUUGUUGGCAUUCCAUUAACCACAAAAGUAUUCAUAAGCCAUGUGAUGAUCUUAAUUAUAUAUUUCUAUGUGCUCUGCUUUGAGAUGGUGACUUUUGCUUUUUAGGCAUGCACAUCGAAGUCUACACAUGUUUGCUGUCCAUGCAGGUUGUGCGCUGUGAUCUUCUGGUGAUUUGUUAGUAUUAACAUAUUGGCAAGGAGAGGCAAUAUCCCAUUGAGAUGGAUCCGGGUGAGGAAGAAAAUCUUGGAGAGGUAAUUAAUAUCCCCUUGAGAUGGAUCCGAGUGAAGAAGAAAGGUGAAAGCAACCAUAUCUUUUCCUUGCUGUCCACUUAAUUCAAUCAUGGAGACCUUGCUGUCGUAAAUGAAAAGGGAAGGACAUGGAAGCUAGGUUCUCCAUCUUUCUAUCAUGGAAAUCUUGCUGUUAAAGAAAAGGUUUCGAUCUAGCCUUGCUGUUAAUCUUAAUAUCCACUCAGUGCAAUCAUGAAGACCUUGCUGUCAAAGAUAGAAGUAGGGAGCAAGUGCAUCUGGACCUCGUGGUCUUACUCCAACCAAGCUGAAGAAACUUGGUUAUUGUUCCUCCUAUAUAUAUAGGAGUUCUGUGGUUUUUGAGGUGGGGUGUCUGAGUUCAAAGUUCAAGAGAUUAAGUUAGUCAUGAGUAUAUUUCAUUCUUGAUAUUCUCUUGUAUUAAACACCGAUGAGUUCAGUUGAGAAAAUCAACUAUGUUUGAGUUUUCAAGACCGAUGUUUUCAAGACAAGUGGAGCACAUUUAGAAGCUGUAGACAAAUUACUGAGAGGUAGUUCAACUGGCUAAAAGAGUUUAGCUAGAGAUAACCGAGUCCAGAGUUAUCCGAGAGGUUGUAAGUGUACCUUGUAUUUUGUUUACUAUUUUAUAGUGUGUGCUUAAGCACUUGGCCCGAGGCCCGCAGUUGUUUACCUCACUUUUGAGGGUUUUACUGCGUAAACA
This is a long non-coding RNA of Rosa rugosa (rugosa rose), 1193 nucleotides long. RefSeq lists it as uncharacterized. The transcript is spliced from 2 exons. The record is from RefSeq and is a predicted model, not a curated record. NCBI's taxonomy places the organism in Eukaryota, Viridiplantae, Streptophyta, Magnoliopsida, Rosales, Rosaceae.